GUCUCCCAGUGUAAACCUACCGUUUUCAGUCCCACUUCACAGUGAUACCGAAUUACAGUUAUUCACGUAAUUUGUAUCGACGUCUAUAGGAAACAGGAAAGUCUAUAAUCUAAAAGGAUUUCCUUUGGUUUUUAAAUUAUCGGUGCACAUCUACGCUCGCACAAAAGAAGAUUUUCAUUUUAUUCGUGUAGCAAUAACCGUCAAAACCAUUGGUGUAGUCAUCGUGCCAUUGUAGCAGGCUCACAUUUUAUUUGAAAAUUGCAAUUAAAUCCGAAAAAAGGCUUUUAAAGGGUCGUUACGUUAACAAAUCUUACAAACUGUUUAGAGGAUAAGUGCAGUCAAAUACGCCUCGUUGCCAUAGGGAAAGGGUACGAUUUAUCCUGCAUCGUCCAUUGUUUCUUUUUAUGGCAUUUUUUUCUGUGAUUUCGAACCCAUCCUCUCUUUUUACCUUAACCGGUGUGCAGUGUAGCCUUGUGUCGAGAUUCGAACGCCUAUUAAGUUUGAAAACAAAAUUAAGGUCGUGUCUCGUAAAUCAUUUUAGCUACGAGAUAAAAGAAUGCCGAAAAAAGGGGGACAAGAAAAUUUUGCAAAUGAUAUAUCUGAUUUGGGUGAAACACAAAUAACCCAAUCCGACGACUCCUAUUUACCUAACGACCAAUCACCUGUGGCUAACACAAGAGUGUUCCGCCGCCGGUGGCUAAUGCUCUUGAUUUUCGUCUUGGUUUUUAUGACGAACGCGUUCCAGUGGAUUCAAUUCUCCAUCAUCAACAAUUUAAUUACAAAAUAUUAUGGCGUGGAAAGUUCUACGGUUGACUGGACGAGCCUCGUUUUUAUGGUCGUUUACAUUCCGUUUAUCAUCCCCGGAGCGUGGAUUAUGGACAGACUGGGAUUACGGGUUACCGUUUUGUUGGGUGCCAUUGGGACCACUUCUGCAGCCUGGAUCAACGCCGUUGGCGUUGCACCUGACCUCUUUUACGUGGUUCUCAUAGGCCAAACAGUCGCGUCUGUUGCCCAGAUUUUCUUAUUGGGCGUUUCGCCAAACGUUGCAGCCGUUUGGUUUGGUGCAGAUCAAGUCUCUUUGGCCUGUUCUAUCGGGGUUUUUGGAAAUCAGAUAGGUGUGGCUUUGGGCUUUCUAAUACCUCCAAUGCUCGUACAUGAUCACGAAAACCCGGAAGACAUUGGCACAGAUUUGAGAUUUAUGCUCUAUAUCAUUGCUGGAUUCUGCACAGCGUUGCUUUUUGCUGUCUUUUUCGGUUUCCAAGCCAAACCUCCUGUACCUCCUAGCGGGGCCCAAUGUUGCUCGGCGAAACAAUCGUCUGGCUCCUUUUCAGGAUAUUUUACAUCAUUGAAAAAGAUUAUUACGAAUCAUGGUUUUAUGCUACUUUUCCUUUCGUACGGUAUCAAUGUCGGCGUCUUUUACGCCAUGUCCACUUUGUUGAAUCAGACGGUCCUGCUUCACUUUCCGGGUGAAGAGAAAAAUGCUGGUCGAAUCGGGUUGACUAUUGUUGUUUGUGGUAUGUUUGGAUCUGUUCUUUUCGGUGCAAUUCUCGACAAAACCCAUAAAUUCAAAGAAACAACUUUGGCGACGUACGUUUGCGCUCUGGCUGGAAUGGUUGCUUAUACUUUCACUUUCCAAUUAGAAUAUAUUCCCGUCACUUUCAUUGCUGCUGGAACUGCUGGCUUCUUCAUGACAGGAUAUCUGCCAGUUGGUUUUGAAUUUGGAACCGAAUUGACUUAUCCGGAGCCGGAAGUCACUUCUGCUGGAUUGUUGAACGCGUCAGCUCAGAUCUUUGGCAUUAUCUUUACACUUUUAGGAGGUUGGCUAUUGGCUACUUAUGGCUCGAUGGUUUGCAAUGGCUUUUUAUCAGCCGCUUUGUUGAUUGGCUUCGUCAUGACGUUCCCUAUCCGGUCAGAUCUUCGCCGACAGAAAGCCAAUCGAGAAUCUAUGAUUGUUGUGGCAGGAGGAGCAAAAGACAAUCCUUUACCAGUUUCCGCUUGAACUAACAUAUCGAUCUUCAUAAAAUGAUGUGAAACUAAGGAAAGCAGUUGUCUUUAGCAUGUUGAUCUAUAUGAAGGGUACAACGCGUGAAAUUCACAUUUUGGAUAAUGUCUUUCUAACACAGCAAUCGACGAUACUGGAUGGUACGUUCAUCGACCUCGGGAGAUGCUUCACCGGCUAAAGCUGCACGAGCCGCACGUCCGGAUCUCGGUCUAGACGUUCCGAACGCUACUUUAUUGCCUGCUGCUUCUCUAUCGGACAGCUCUUGUUGAUGUAACUGAAGUUCCCGUUCUUUUUUCUUUUGGCUGAGAAUCUUAUCACGCUGAGCGCGUAAUAGAACGCGGCGGCGUUCUACAUCUUCCGGAUCGGGGACUUUUGUUGCCACUAAAUGACCUAAGCAUUUGACUUUCAAAUUCUCUACAAAAUUUAUAAAAAAAAGAUCCGUUUCAAACCUCUGGUCGGAGUUUGAACGUUAGUUACGGGAGCAGCUUCUACUAACGUUUCCACAACUUCGUCAGUUGUUUGGCUUUUUAGUAGUCCAGCCACGGAUGCAGCAAGAGCUCGGUCCACUAACCCGCCCAGUCAAUAAUUAUAGGCUCUUUUUUAACGUUUGCAUUGACACAGUCGAAAUAACAAAUUACCGUCACGCCUCUCAGCGACUUGGGCAUUUCGUUCGGCCACAUGUUCGGCCAUAGAUUGCCGAAUCGCUUCAUUGAUGUCUUCUUCGGAAAACUCAUCGUUAGACGCGUUCCGACUCUCAAUGCUCGGAUGCCCAGGAUGAUCACGCUUUCGGCGCAGCAUUUCAAGAGCUUCGUUGUGCAACUGCUCAUUUUUAGAGCGCAUCAAUGCUUUGAAACGAUCGUAAUCGCCGGCGGAUUGUACGGGCUCCAGCAGUUGCUUCAAGUGAUUUUGUGUAUACCUGUAAAGCUGCCGACCGGACGGAAGGCUGGAUUCGACUCAAGGCUAAUUCCAGGUGUUCCGGCUGAAGGCCUAAAUCGUCCAUGUAGGCACCCAGCAUAACAUCCACCUUGCAACCAGAGAAUGUUAAUUAUCUCUAGGUCGAUUGAUCAGCCGAACUAUAAACUCAAAAAGUUGGAGUCAUAGUAGAGAUAUCACCCACCAAAUUGCGAAAUUCCUUGUGGAUUCCUUGAUAUUCAUCCUCGAACUCGGCACCAUCACCUUCAAAUACUUUCAACAUAACAAAGAGUUAAAUUUAUCACUAUUCAGUGGGAGAAGAAUGAUUGGACUCGUGUUUUAACACACCGACGGACUUUUGCUCCACGAAAUUCAGAAUAGGAGUAAUCCAAACAGGUCCUUGCAGAUAAGCUACCAACGAAUCGAGGAUCCAAUCAGCGUUAUUUUCUUCGGGAACAUCGUCUGUUGCUUCCAUUGCUGAAGAAGGUAGUGUACAAAGCUUCUGAAACUGACAGAUCACAUCCACAAUUGGUACCCUCCUUCGGGAAAUCGGACUGCUGGACUGUGGGUUGGCAGCGCGAUCCAUGUUAUGAGUUGCCAUGACAACCAAACAAUAACAAACUCUCACUAAGGUAAUAGUUGCUGGCAGGGCGGACGCUAUUUGCCUUCUCCUUCUUCUGAAGAAUCAGAACGCCGCUAUAAAGUGGAAUUAAUGGCAAAUUAGAUUAAGACUACAUCGCAGUAAUAUGCAUGAGAAAGACAUACACGAAUGCCAUUAAUAGAAUGAUUUCAAUGCCCAUCUCAACGAGAAAAACGGUUGCAGAAAACAAGUCCCGAGUUGCUUUGUACAACGAAUCGAAGCUGACCAACGCAAUAAGAGGAACAAUCGAUUCUAAGACAGCAACAAAUGAAUAGACGUGACCUAUAGUCAUAAGAAAACACUUACUGAUUUCAUCGGCUUUCACCAAUUUGGAGAGCAGUGAUCUGAUGACCACGGUAAUUCCCAACGACAAAACAUGACCAAGCGUGGCUAUCAAAGAAAAGACUUCAUCAGCAAAAUCAAAUUAAAGCUGAAACAAAAUCUUUGUCUGGCCAGAGCUAGAAUUACAGAGAUACACGAUCGUUGAAGAUGCGGCGAAAGCUAUAAAUAGGUAAGACAACACUUUGCCACUUGACGACAAAAUGCCAAUUAAAGUGUCCGAGAAUCUCAAAUAAUCUGAGAGAAGAGGCAAGAGGAGAAGAGUUCCUAAAACCGAUCAAAAGAUGUUGACUGACACACUCAUUUUUUUUUUAAACGUCCGCGUUUACCAAGGAUUUCCACAAAUGAAAAACUAGCCGUGUACAAAGUAAAGUCAGAAUGAUUCCAGGAAAAGUAGUCUCUCGUGUAAAGGUAAGCAGCGCCGUAGUGGGCUGCAAACAAAAAAUUCAAACCUUAUCUAGUCCGAUCAUUGCACUUCGUUUUAGUUUGAUUUGUUCUUUACUAACCGUACGAAAAACAAUUCAAGAAAAAGCAGAACAUCAAACAAAAAAUGAAAGUGCGUUCGUAUCCUUUCCGUCGUUUAAAAGCGAUGACGGACCACUGCCGCACAUUCUUCAGAAUGGAUUCACAGUUGCAUUUUUCUGAGAGUGAUUCUCUUAUUGCUUGUUCUGCUUCCUUUGCUGAAGUGGAUUUUAUCACAAUAAGCCGAGUGAAUCGAUUUUUCGCUGGUUGGCCUCGUGAAUCACGAACAAAGAAAAACAGGUAAAUCAAUGAUAAGGCAUAGAAACCAAGUGCGCUCAACCAAAUGGCCAGGUAACCGCCUAGAUUGUAUAUAACGGCACUAAUCACUUGUGAUGAAAUCUGCACAGCCAUCGCAAUAACACCGGCCAUGAUAGCCAGUCGGAGCGUCCUGAUUUCUUCCAGCGUUACAUCCACAAUGUAACUGCCCAUAACAAAGGUAGCUCUGCCCCCUAGGACACCUAUUGACAUGUCUCCGAAAAGAAGAAAUUCAGCUGGAAGCGAAUCCGCGAAAUAAUUUGCCAUGAGGAUUAAGGUGGAUAUUAUUUGACCAAUGACAGGAGCAACCAUCAAGAAUUUCGUUCCAUACUGAUUGCUGAGUGGUCCGAAUAAUAAGACAAAGAGGGCUGAAAGGAUGUGAUUAAUCAGUGAGCCGUAAAUAUUCAAGAUGCUGGCAUAACUUUCGAUGUGAUCCGAUGUUUCCAGAGUACUUUGUUUGGAAACCGAAUGCGUUUGAUUACUACCAUAGCAAUCACUUAAAUUUAAAUUGAAGCCAUAAUGGCUUCUGCAGACUUUGUAGGAAAGUAUGUAUUGUUUAGGGACAGACUGUGGGCAAACAAGAAUUAGGUUGAUUAACAAAACAAGACGGUAGAGUUUGGAGAAUUUUACCUGUAUAACAGUUGCCAUGACGAAGAGAAAUCCAAAAGGUUCGAUCGUGAUAUGUAGCUUCUGGAGUGUUACGCUUAUCCACAUUAUUACCUUUCGAUAGGUUGACAUCAUUUUCGUUCUAUUUCUGAUGCAAGCACAAAGGAUAGCUAUAAAAACUCUGUGGGUCAAGACCCCGUUCUCACAUGUCCCACUAAUAGAAUACGAUCAAGGUGGCUCCAACAGUGAUUCCUCACGAUUGUUUCAACCAUUCUCAUUCCCUUCCUUAAUAUACAGAUCGAAGAUUUAA
RNAcentral lists this unclassified non-coding RNA (5586 nucleotides) under Daphnia magna. Its description in RNAcentral is "feline leukemia virus subgroup C receptor-related protein 2, transcript variant X3". The record is from RNAcentral. Lineage: Eukaryota; Metazoa; Arthropoda; Branchiopoda; Diplostraca; Daphniidae.